UGCCCAGCAAAGCCUAUCCCUACCUCCUCGUGGUACUGGGGAAGAUCGGGUAACCAACCCUGGUGGGAACUUUGGUCGUAUGCUGACAGGGAAGG
Molecule: non-coding RNA, 95 nt
Organism: Aedes aegypti (yellow fever mosquito)
Lineage: Eukaryota; Metazoa; Arthropoda; Insecta; Diptera; Culicidae
Source: Rfam